This 72-nucleotide transfer RNA is filed under the name Dreissena polymorpha. It matches the Rfam family "tRNA". From Rfam's summary of the family: Transfer RNA (tRNA) molecules are approximately 80 nucleotides in length. Lineage: Eukaryota; Metazoa; Mollusca; Bivalvia; Myida; Dreissenidae. The record is from Rfam by way of RNAcentral.
GGUUCCAUGGUAUAAUGGUUAGCACUAAAGUCUCUGAAACUUAUGAUCCGAGGUCAAAUCUCGGUGGAACCU